RNAcentral lists this long non-coding RNA (367 nucleotides) under Marmota monax (woodchuck). Lineage: Eukaryota; Metazoa; Chordata; Mammalia; Rodentia; Sciuridae. The record is from RNAcentral.
GGCACUUAAAAACAGAGUCACAUCCCUAGCCAUCUUUAUUUAUUUAUUUAUUUAUUUUUAAAACUUGGUUUUCUUUUUUUUUUUUAAACAGAGAGAGAGAAUUUUUUUUUUAAUAUUUAUUUUUUAGUUCUCGGCAGACACAACAUCUUUGUUUGUAUGUGGUGCUGAGGAUCGAACCUGGGUGCACGCAUGCCAGACGAGCGUGCUACCGCUUGAGCCACAUCCCCAGCCCUUAUUUUUUUAUUUUGAGACAGUGUCUUGCCAAAUUGCUGAAGUUGGCUUUGAACUUGGGAUCCUCCUGCCUCAGCCUCCUGAAUCACUGGGAUUACCGAUGUGUGCCAUUGCAUCUGGCCUGUAUUUUUUUUUA